RNAcentral lists this ribosomal RNA (409 nucleotides) under uncultured bacterium. Its description in RNAcentral is "partial 16S ribosomal RNA". It matches the Rfam family "Bacterial small subunit ribosomal RNA", at positions 355 to 755 of the family's 1533-position model. The record is from RNAcentral.
UGGGGAAUUUUGGACAAUGGGCGAAAGCCUGAUCCAGCAAUGCCGCGUGUGUGAAGAAGGCCUUCGGGUUGUAAAGCACUUUUGUCCGGAAAGAAAUCCUUGGCUCUAAUACAGUCGGGGGAUGACGGUACCGGAAGAAUAAGCACCGGCUAACUACGUGCCAGCAGCCGCGGUAAUACGUAGGGUGCAAGCGUUAAUCGGAAUUACUGGGCGUAAAGCGUGCGCAGGCGGUUUGCUAAGACCGAUGUGAAAUCCCCGGGCUCAAACCUGGGAACUGCAUUGGUGACUGGCAGGCUAGAGNAUGGCAGAGGGGGGUAGAAUUCCACGUGUANCAGUGAAAUGCGUAGAGAUGUGGAGGAAUACCGAUGGCGAAGGCAGCCCCCUGGGCCAAUACUGACGCUCAUGCACG